RNAcentral lists this ribosomal RNA (235 nucleotides) under uncultured bacterium. Its description in RNAcentral is "partial 16S ribosomal RNA". It matches the Rfam family "Bacterial small subunit ribosomal RNA", at positions 118 to 347 of the family's 1533-position model. The record is from RNAcentral.
UGAGGAACAUGACCUUCGGCGGGGGAGUAGCCGGCCCAACGGCCGGGUAAUACCGCGUACGACCACAUGGGGACAUCCCUGAGUGGUGAAAGCAGCAAUGCGCCGAUGGAGUGCCUCGCGGCCUAUCAGCUAGUUGGUGAGGUAACGGCUCACCAAGGCGACGACGGGUAGCCGGCCUGAGAGGGCGAUCGGCCACACUGGGACUGAGACACGGCCCAGACUCCUACGGGAGCAG